This 427-nucleotide ribosomal RNA is filed under the name Barnettozyma sp. SU18.1.3. RNAcentral's name for it is "eukaryotic LSU rRNA". It matches the Rfam family "Eukaryotic large subunit ribosomal RNA", at positions 139 to 566 of the family's 3401-position model. The record is from RNAcentral. Lineage: Eukaryota; Fungi; Ascomycota; Saccharomycetes; Phaffomycetales; Phaffomycetaceae.
CGAGUUGUAAUUUGAAGAAUGCAUACUUGGUGAGGCGCCUUGUCUAUGUUCCUUGGAACAGGACGUCGCAGAGGGUGAGAAUCCCGUAUGGCGAGGCAAGCUGAGCCGUGUAAGUUGUGUUCGACGAGUCGAGUUGUUUGGGAAUGCAGCUCUAAGUGGGUGGUAAAUUCCAUCUAAAGCUAAAUAUUGGCGAGAGACCGAUAGCGAACAAGUACAGUGAUGGAAAGAUGAAAAGAACUUUGAAAAGAGAGUGAAAAAGUACGUGAAAUUGUUGAAAGGGAAGGUUAUUACAUCAGACUUGGAUGUGACUUCAUACGCUGUGACUUGUUUGCGGUGUCACUGAGGACGUGUCUGGGCCAGCAUCGAUUGGUGUUGCCGGAGAAAAGGGCGGGGAAUGUGGCACAUUCUAAAUUCUGAGUGUGUGUUU